AAAACCUUUAAAGCAGUAUGACAUCUGACUUCUUUCGUGUGGUUAAUGAGGCUCGCCGUCAUUCGCUCGGACCUUUCAGUCCCUCAUUUAAUAUACAAACUUGCUUGUUUGAAGGUUUACAAAAGCAUUUGCCAGAGGAUGCGCAUAAACGGGUCAAUGGGCGCUUACAUAUUUCGUUAACGCGAGUUCAUGAUGGUAAAAAUGUCAUCGUUUCCGAAUUCAAUUCGCGCGAUGAACUCUUGCAAGCUUUGCUGUGCGCCUGCUUCAUUCCAGGCUUCUCAGGCAUAUUCCCACCUCGGUUUCGUGGAGUGCGGUAUAUGGAUGGAGCUUUUUCUGACAACUUGCCAAUUCUGGAUGAGAACACAAUUACUGUAAGCCCCUUCUGUGGUGAGAGUGAUAUUUGUCCACGUGAUCAAAGUUCUCAACUCUUCCAUUUGAAUUGGGCUAAUACCAGCAUUGAAAUAUCUCGGCAGAAUGUUAAUCGUUUCGUCCGAAUUUUGUUUCCACCGCGACCGGAAUUUCUUUCGAAAUUCUGUCAGCAAGGGUUCGACGAUGCAAUGCAGUUCCUUCAUCGUAAUAAUUUAAUAAAUUGUCGUCGUUGUGUAGCUGUGCAAUCGACAUUUGUAGUAUCAGAGACAGUGGCACAACCUCAGGACUUUGAUCCUGAAUGCAGAGAAUGUAAAAAGCAUAGAAAUGACGCUUUAAGCUCAAACAUGCCACAGACUGUAUUGGAUGUCAUUCAAGAUUAUAUCGAACAAGCUAAUAAAGGCUUGGCCAAUUGGAUAUUUAAGCACCGAGGAAUAAAACUGCUGUCCCUGCCAGCAACAGUACCUAUGGAUUUCUUCUUGGCCACAGUAUCGAAGAUUACUAAACUUACACCAAAACUGAGCAAACACGUUCGCGUGAGGAUAGAAAAUAUUUUAAGGCAAUUAAAUAACACAGUGCAGACCCGCAUUUUAAGCAAUUUUACGAUUUGCGAACCGCCUCAUUUCGAUACGACUGGCUUACUACAUUCCAACCGUCUAUAUGGGCCAAGGGUAUCGAUAUUAGUUGAUGAGUGUGGUGCUCCUUCCAUUGAAGGUGAUGUGGACAACUAUGAGCAUGUUCUUAGAGUAACCACUCACAAUGAUGCACUUUACGCUUACUAUUAUACAGAUGACCUUACGAACAAAGUUAAAGUUACAGAAAUUUUCGAAAUUGAUGAUGACGAACAACUUGCAACCGAUCCGAAAUUAUACGAAGGCAUAGUUGAAGAUCACCCGAAUCCCCAUCAACAUCACCACAAUGUUGUUAGUGAAUGGAACGGCGUAGAAUCAGUACAAGUUAUACCCAGCAAGCCUGAAAAUCGAGAAGAUAUUUUUUAAAACAAACGCUAAUUAUUUUUAAUUUUUUAAACACAUCCGAAAACUUUGUAGACCAAAAAUUGUUGAAUGUUUUAGAUAUUACAUGAUGAACAGCCUUUUAUAUUGAUGAACUACCUUUCGAAUGGGAUUUCACAGAUUCCACAUCCAAAAGUUCGACACAAACUGUUCAUACUGCAUACCAGAUAGACAAAUGUGAAGCCAUUGAUGGUGCUAAUAUUGGAUUAGAAAUCGAAACUGGUGCUUUCAGAGAAGUGGAUCACUAUUUUGCCAAACAACAGCAAAGAAGCAAGAACAUUCAGCACAACACCUAUCAAUAUCUUUAACCGAACAACGUUCGGUAGCUACAAAUUGGGAUUGAUAUUCCCAUUCCAAGAGAAAGGCGAUUGCGGUGACAUGGAAAAUUCAUUUUAUGUACAUACAUAUACUAAUGUUUUAACUUAUUGAGAUUUUUCAUUACUUGCCUAUAGUUAUUUAAAUACACACAGACGUUAUUUAAAUACGUACGGUCAUUAUACAUGUAUAUUUUCUACAUAAGAUAAUUGCGAAAUCCUUCAGGAAAUACCAUUUUUUCGCUAAUUUUGAUCGUAGAGAGCGUUGAUUUUGAAAAUUAACAAUUUUUAUUGAAUCAGUUAUCAUGAUUAAAUGAAAACAGCCUUAA
Molecule: RNA transcript, 2022 nt
Organism: Rhagoletis zephyria (snowberry fruit fly)
Lineage: Eukaryota; Metazoa; Arthropoda; Insecta; Diptera; Tephritidae
Gene: bmm
Gene name: brummer
Source: RefSeq, a predicted model, not a curated record